Molecule: ribosomal RNA, 268 nt
Filed under: uncultured Glomus
Lineage: Eukaryota; Fungi; Glomeromycota; Glomeromycetes; Glomerales; Glomeraceae
Description: partial small subunit ribosomal RNA
Rfam family: Eukaryotic small subunit ribosomal RNA
Source: RNAcentral
UAAAGUUGUUGCAGUUAAAAAGCUCGUAGUUGCAUUUCGGGGUCAGCAGGUUGGUCGUGCCACUGGUAUGCACUGGCUUCGCUGAUUCCUCCUUUCUGAAGAACUGUAAUGUCAUUAAUUUGGUGUUGCAGGGAAACAGGACUGUUACUUUGAAAAAAUUAGAGUGUUUAAAGCAGGCUAACGCUUGAAUACAUUAGCAUGGAAUAAUGAAAUAGGACGUUCGAUCCUAUUUUGUUGGUUUCUAGGAUUGACGUAAUGAUUAAUAGGG